Molecule: long non-coding RNA, 2994 nt
Organism: Equus asinus (donkey)
Lineage: Eukaryota; Metazoa; Chordata; Mammalia; Perissodactyla; Equidae
Source: Ensembl
GGGGUCGGUGAGCCGAGGAGUCGAAAGAAAGAUUUCUUAGACUCUUAAGAUCUGGCAGUAGUGCUCUUUUAUUUAGAGAAUAGUGUAGCAUGGGGACAGGACCCAUGGGCAGUCAGAGCUUUUGCUGCCGCUUCUGCUGCCCCCGCUGGCAUGGGGACAGGACCCACAGGCAGUCAGAGCUCCUGCUGCUGCCCUGAGUUGAGGGUUAGGGCUAAAUUUAAGGCAUAGGUAUGUGAGUCAUCUCUUUACGAAGACAAAGGAAAGAACAUGAAAAAAAGUUAAAAUGGUAUCAGUGCAGGUGGGGUCUGGUCAUUGGGUGAUCCCAUGACUUUUAGACAAGAAUCAAAUCGGAUUAAGUAAAGGUCAGAAGCCACCACCCUAAAUCAGUUACAUGAGAUUGCCAGACAGCAACCAACUUAAGUUCUUGCCUUCCCCAUUAAGAGUUUUUAGGGACAAGGUCAUCUCUCUUCUUCUUCCUGGUACAGAGAGGGAGGCACCUUUUACAGAUAGCCCCAGAGCCUCCUUCCCUGUCCCAGUUUAUCGAAAGCAAUCAGCCCAAAACAAUCCUGAUGCCAAAGAGACAUAUCCUGGGGUGGCCAAUUUCAGGUCCCUACAAGGUCAUCCCCCUUCCUUCACAAACGCAAAUGUCUCUCAAAAGGGCAAGCAAAAUUCCAGUCCUUGGAGCCUGCUUCUCAUCUGUAGUUUUAAAAGUAACCAGCCUAAAAUCCUCAUCAUAAACCGUUUUAAAAUUAAGCAGCCUAAAAAUCCUCAUUAUUUACAUAUUUUUAAAAAAUUGUUUUUAGUCACCAUGCUGCACGUCACACCCCCGGAACUUAAUUAUCUUAUAACUGGAAGUUUGUCCCUGCAAAAUGGGGGAAGUUUUGACCCCCUGCGCCCAUUUUCCCAUCCCCCAUCCCCCGCCACCGGCGGCCACCGAUCUGUUUCCCUACCUAGGAGUUUGGUACUUUCAGAUUCCACCUAUAAGUGAGAUCACACAGUAUUUGACUUUCUUCAUCUGGCUGUUUUCACUGAGCAUAAUGUCCUCAAGGUCAAUCCGUGUCCUCGUGAAUGGCAGGAUUUCCUUCUUUAUCAUGGUGAAUAAUAUCCCAUUGUCUGCAUACACCGCAUCUUCUUUAUCCACUCAUCCAUCGAUGGGCACUUAGGUUGUUUCCAGAUCUUGGCUCUGGUGGAGAAUGCUGCAGUGUCAAUUCUAUCUCAAUUUUAAAAAAAGAAUGUUGCAAUGACCUUGGAGAUGUAGAUAUCUCUCUCUCUCUCUUUUUUUUUUUUGGUGAAGAAGAUUGGCCCUGAGUUAACUUCUGUUGCCAAUCCUCAUCUUUUUGCUGAGGAAGAUUGGCCCUGAGCUACCCAGAAAUCUUCUUGAGACACUGCUUUCAUUUCCUUCAGAUAAAUACCCAGAAGUGGAAUAUCUGGAUCAUAUGGUAGUUCUAUUUUUAAUUUUUUGAGGAAAUGCCAUACUGUUUUCCAUAAUGUAUGCACCAAUUUACAUUCAUAUAUAUAUAUAUGAGGUAAAUAUAUGCAUAUUUAAUUGAAAUCAAUUCACAUUUUUGCCUUUUCAAGAUUUUCCAGUAGAUUCACAAUCUUGUACAACCAUCACCACUAUUUGAUUCUGGAAUAUUCCCGUCACCCCAAAAAGAAACCUGCAAACCCCCCAUGCUCCCUCCCCCGGCCCCUGGCACCCACUCCUCUACUCUCUGUCUCUAUGGACUUGCCUGUUCUGGACAUUUCCUAUGAAUGGAAUCGCACAAUAUGUGGCCUUUCGUGUCUGGCUUCUUUCACGGAGCGAAACGUUCAUCAUCUUUCGUGCAAAGUUUGAGUUCUCCUCUGUUGCAGUGUGUCUCAGUAUUUCUUUCCUUUUCAGGGCUGAGUAAUAUUCCCUUACAAGGGUCAAGCACACUCUUAGUAGUUUCCGUCUGUUCCCUUAGACUCAGCUCCGAGAGGGCCCCUCAGGCUCCCCAGGCAGGACGGGCUCCUCCUCUGUGCUCCUACCGGCGUCACAGUUUCGCCUCGCGGCCCUGGGGUGUAAAGUGAAGAUUCCUGACGUCUGGAGGUUGAGCAAAUGUGGCUUUGUUGCGCCACUGCCUCUUCACCCCGCGGUGGAGUCCUGCCCUGCCCCAGCGGAGAAUUCGGCACUGGACUCAGGCCCAGAUCCGCGACUCAAUCCCAUCUCUGAUCGCCAGACUUGGUGUGGGAUGGGGGCCCCGGGCCGGGCCCGCCAGGCUGGAGGCCUCUAUGGGAAAGGGGCUGGUCCCCCUGUGGACUCUCUUCCUGUCCCCAUCACCCUCUCAACCUUUGGGCCCCUCCUGCCCAGGGACAGGGGGAGGGGACAGGGCGGCUCCUCCUCGGCUGGUGGCUCUGCUCUCUUUGGAUGACCCGGCAGGGGGUUUCAGGGCCCCCCCCCAAUGGACUCGGCGGGGAUGUGUUUUGGGGACUCUGAGGCCGUCACUUUCCUGGAGACCCUUGGCUGGGGCACUGGCAUCUCUGAUCCGGAUUGUAGCUCCUCUCUCAGGCCCUCCCAGGGGGCCUCCACGCCGACCCUCAGCCCCUCCCAGGGGGCCUCCACGCCGGCCCUCAGCCCCUCCCAGGGGGCCUCCACGCCGACCACGGAUGAGCAGACCCCUGGCUCCACCAUCAGAGCCAUCUGCCUCUCGUUCUGGGUUUCCUGGGGGUCAGAUCACAGCCCCGUCAGCUCACCUCAGCUUCCUUAAGGCAGAGUCAGCAAGAGUCCUGGGCAUCCUGCCUUGGGGACACUUUUCAAAGGUUGUGAAGUCGCCUCCCUCUUUGGGCUCUGGGCCAACCCGUGUCCCAAGAAGGUGGAUGGGGACUUGCAGGUAGAAAUAGCUCCCCUGAACAAAUGUCUUCACCCAUCUUUUUUGGUGAGGAAGAUUGGCCUUGAGCUAACAUCUGUGCCAAUCUUCUUGUAUUUUCUACGUGGGAUGCCAUGACAGCGUGGCUUGAUGAGCAGUGUGUUGGUCC